GUGAAUGAGAUUCGUGAAUGACGAGCGGCUAAGUCAGCUCCGGGUUGCGAGCUGCCUAGGUGAACUGCCGAGUUUUCCUGUCCAGGCAGCAAGGCUCAGAGGUCCUAAGACCCCUUUGGCUUUCUGCCACAGAGGCACUCCAGAGACGGACAGAUCUCUUCCCCACACGCCCCGCCCCCUGCUUACAGUAGCUGUGAGUAAUCCUAAAGGAAGCUGAUGGGGGAAGCCCUGCACGGCUGUGGGAAUCUAGUAAAUAGGUGCCCGUUGCUGGCUGGGCCACAAGAUAACCCAAGGUUCCGGUCACCUUUGGUCCCUCUGCUGUGAUUUAUGGCUUACAGGAGGUCCAUCUGGUUCCCACAUGUGAACUCUCAGGCUUCAUUGGAACAGCCGUGGUUAUUCCCGUACGUAAUUACACCAUAAUGAGUUUCAACUUCCCCUUCGAGCUCAAGGGAAUGCUGGAAUCCCCCGACUUUCUCCUCAAGUCACCCUUGACUUUGUCUGACCUUCUGUACAGGUUUUGCUUCCCAGUCCAACUGAAUCUGUGCCUGAAGAGAGACGUUUUCUGAGAAAUGAUCCACAUCCCUGUCCUCCUUCCUGGACCAUCGCUGGCAGAUGCUGGCCGGAAACAAGCAUUCUCUUGUCUUUACGGGAAUGGCAUCCUUGUGGCUCUUGCUGGAAUCAGCAGAUGGAAUGAUGGCUCCGUGAUUAAAAGCACUGACUGCUCUUCCAGAAGACCUGGGUUCAAAUCUCAGCACCCACAUGGUGGCUGACA
RNAcentral lists this small RNA (772 nucleotides) under Rattus norvegicus (Norway rat). RNAcentral describes it as "uncharacterized LOC102547991". The record is from RNAcentral. Lineage: Eukaryota; Metazoa; Chordata; Mammalia; Rodentia; Muridae.